GAUGAACGCUGGCGGCGUGCUUAACACAUGCAAGUCGAACGGAAAGGCCCAAGCUUGCUUGGGUACUCGAGUGGCGAACGGGUGAGUAACACGUGGGUGAUCUGCCCUGCACUUCGGGAUAAGCCUGGGAAACUGGGUCUAAUACCGGAUAGGACCACAUUUUGGAUGGUGUGGUGGAAAGUUUUUCGGGGUGGGAUGAGCUCGCGGCCUAUCAGCUUGUUGGUGGGGUAAUGGCCUACCAAGGCGUCGACGGGUAGCCGGCCUGUGAGGGUGUACGGCCACAUUGGGACUGAGGUACGGCCCAGGCUCCUACGGGAGGCAGCAGUGGGGAAUAUUGCACAAUGGGCGCAAGCCUGAUGCAGCGACGCCGCGUGGGGGAUGACGGCCUUCGGGUUGUAAACUCCGUUCGCUAGGGACGAAGCGUUAUGUGACGGUACCUGGAGAAGAAGCACCGGCUAACUACGUG
Molecule: ribosomal RNA, 466 nt
Filed under: uncultured bacterium
Lineage: Bacteria
Description: partial 16S ribosomal RNA
Rfam family: Bacterial small subunit ribosomal RNA
Source: RNAcentral